AUACGGAGGGUGCAAGCGUUAAUCGGAAUUACUGGGCGUAAAGCGUACGUAGGCGGUUAAGUCAGUCAGAUGUGAAAGCCCUGGGCUCAACCUGGGAACUGCAUUUGAUACUGCUUGGCUAGAAUAUGGUAGAGGGAAGUGGAAUUCCGGGUGUAGCGGUGAAAUGCGUAGAUAUCCGGAGGAACACCAGUGGCGAUGGCGGCUUCCUGGACCAAUAUUGACGCUGAGGUACGAAAGCGUGGGUAGCAAACAGGAUUAGAAACCCCAGUAGUCC
Molecule: ribosomal RNA, 274 nt
Filed under: uncultured bacterium
Lineage: Bacteria
Description: partial 16S ribosomal RNA
Rfam family: Bacterial small subunit ribosomal RNA
Source: RNAcentral